GUUCUCCAGAUUCCUUUCCUCUCGGAUCUAAACAGUGGUCUGAGUGGCUCUAAAAGGAGGAGGAGAACAAGUGACAUGAACUUGGACUCUUUGGGGACAUGCAAGUUCAUUUCAAAAAAAG
This 121-nucleotide small nucleolar RNA is filed under the name Echinops telfairi (small Madagascar hedgehog). RNAcentral describes it as "Small nucleolar RNA SNORA61 (ENSETEG00000024192.1)". The record is from RNAcentral. Lineage: Eukaryota; Metazoa; Chordata; Mammalia; Afrosoricida; Tenrecidae.